AAGGAGUGAUUCCCACCUCAUGGGAAAGUAACUUUCCCAUGUUUCUCAUGGGAAAGACUUUCCCAUGAAAUAUGGGAAUCAUAUUCCCAUGGGAAUACAACUUUCCCAUCUCUCUCCUUUGAAAACUCCAACCAAACAAGAGGCAUUUCAUUACUUUCCCGUUGACCAUACUUUUCCCCCUCCUUUUCCUGCGAACCAAACGAGCCCUU
RNAcentral lists this long non-coding RNA (209 nucleotides) under Phoenix dactylifera (date palm). RNAcentral describes it as "long non-coding RNA (PDAC_LNC017920)". Lineage: Eukaryota; Viridiplantae; Streptophyta; Magnoliopsida; Arecales; Arecaceae. The record is from RNAcentral.